This is a long non-coding RNA of Seriola aureovittata, 762 nucleotides long. RefSeq lists it as uncharacterized. The transcript has 4 exons. Lineage: Eukaryota; Metazoa; Chordata; Actinopteri; Carangiformes; Carangidae. The record is from RefSeq and is a predicted model, not a curated record.
CAAGUACUUUGACAUCACAGCUGCCCAGGUCCAACAAGUGGAGGCGACUGCGACCUCCUGACACUAGCAAAGUGGAAAAAAUGUUGGGAGGAAAAGGAAUGACAGAGGAUGGAAGGGGGAUGAGGGCCAGUGGAGAGACAGCCAAGUGAAAGACUGACACACUGACGGUCAGACACACACACACACACACAAACACUAAAGAUUAUUCACAAGCUGAACACGCUCUGAUUUUCUAGCCUGUGUACAUGUGUGUGAGAGUGUUACCCAGCUUGGAGUGUCCAAAGCAGAAGACACAGCCAUCUGCUCCAUUCACCACCGACUGAAUCACCUCGGCAACCGUUCCUGCACACACCUCCGCCUAGCAACAGGCAGACAGAGAGAGAGAAAUGGAGGGAGAUGUAGGAAGAAGCGUCAGGAGGGAACGCCGCAUCAAAUGUGAACAUCUUCGGGGGGACCUGAUUGGCUCCCGCCCUUUUCUGGGAAGCAGCGUUUGGUGUCUGAUUGGCUGAAGGGUCCAUGAUGGUGAUUUGCUUCUUCCUGGGAUCCACUUUAAGGAAGGAGCUGGACUCGGCUGCAUCCGACUGAGACACUGGACACACACGCACCAUCACUUUCACCUGAGGGGGAACUUCCACUGCCUGAGGCCGGUGAUCCAGUACCAAAACCCGGGGAGCCACCUAGAGAACCAGGCGAUCCUGUUCCAAUCCCCGGAGAGAUGGUCCCCGGUGAUCCAGAGAAGGACCCUGGUGAAGAGAUUCCUGA